UCUCGAUUGGUCUAGUGGUAAGGAUACCUGCUUGUCAUUUGACAGCCUCUUCGAGUUUAGAAUAGCAAAUCGCAGGUGGCCGGGGUUCGAUUCCCCGAUCGAGAG
Molecule: non-coding RNA, 105 nt
Organism: Xylaria sp. FL0064
Lineage: Eukaryota; Fungi; Ascomycota; Sordariomycetes; Xylariales; Xylariaceae
Source: the annotation of a GenBank genome assembly